CCCCACCAACAACGUGCCAGCAGCCGCGGUAAAACGUAGGAGGCGAGCGUUAUCCGGAUUUACUGGGGCGUAAAGCGCGCGCAGGUGGUGGCUGAAGUGGUGCGUGAAAGCUCCCGGCUCAACUGGGAGAGGCCGUACCAAACUCGGUCACUGGAGACAGAUAGAGGCUGACGGAAUUCCGGGUGGAGUGGUGAAAUGCGUAGAGAUCCGGAGGAACACCAGUGGCGAAGGCGGUCAGCUGGGUCUGAUCUGACACUGAGGUGCGAAAGCGUGGGGAGCGAACGGGAUUAGAAACCCCGGUAGUCCACGCCGUAAACGAUGCAGACUAGAUGUUGGAUAUCGAAAGGUAUUCAGUGCCGCAGCCAACGCGAUAAGUCUGCCGCCUGGGGAGUACGGUCGCAAGGCUAAAACUCAAAGGAAUUGACGGGGGCCCGCACAAGCAGCGGAGCGUGUGGUUUAAUUCGAGGCUACGCGAAGAACCUUACCUGGACUUGACAUGCUGGUAGUAGGGAACCGAAAGGGGACCGACUUCGGAGCCAGCACAGGUGCUGCAUGGCUGUCGUCAGCUCGUGCCGUGAGGUGUUCGGUUAAGUCCGAAAACGAGCGCAACCCCUGGCGUUAGUUACAAGUGUCUAACGCGACUGCCCGGGGAAACCGGGAGGAAGGUGGGGAUGACGUCAAGUCAGCAUGGCCUUGAUGUCCAGGGCUACACACACGCUACAAUGGCCGGUACAAUAGGCAGCCAAGCCGCGAGGUGGAGCGAAUCCAGGAAAGCCGGUCGCAGUUCGGAUUGUAGGCUGCAACUCGCCUGCAUGAAGUCGGAGUUGCUAGUAAACGCGGAUCAGCUACGCCGCGUUGAUACGUUCCCGGGCCUUGUACACACCGCCCGUCACGUCAUGGGAGCUGGUCACGCCUGAAGUCGGUGAGCCAACCGUAAGGGAGCAGCCGCC
RNAcentral lists this ribosomal RNA (950 nucleotides) under uncultured organism. RNAcentral's name for it is "bacterial SSU rRNA". It matches the Rfam family "Bacterial small subunit ribosomal RNA", at positions 492 to 1457 of the family's 1533-position model. The record is from RNAcentral.